This 300-nucleotide ribosomal RNA is filed under the name Triticum aestivum (bread wheat). Its description in RNAcentral is "partial small subunit ribosomal RNA". The record is from RNAcentral. Lineage: Eukaryota; Viridiplantae; Streptophyta; Magnoliopsida; Poales; Poaceae.
AUGAGUAGAUCGACUGGGAGGGACAACGUGUACAAGCCGUCGUAUGGAGGGUUUGUGGACAUAGACAUCGAGCAGCAAGGGAGGAGCAUAUCUCUUAGAACAUUGAUUGACCAUUCGGUAGUGGAGAGCUUUGGAGGCGGGGGGCGGACAUGCAUCACGGCACGGGUGUACCCUGAGCACGCGGAGAACAGAAAUAGCCAUGUGUUCGUGUUCAAUAAUGGGACCGGACUCGUGAAGGUGUCCAAGCUCGAGGCAUGGAGGCUGGUGAUGGCUUCAGUAAACAUCGUGCAUGGCGGGUGA